AUCUCUUAUACCGGGUGGGGGAGUUGGGGGGACGGACACGACAGGGACAGGACACUUGUACAGAUGGAUUUGGUGCCACCAGCACUACUCCCUCAAUCAACUCAGGCUUUCAACCAACAAAAGCCUGAAAGACGAGUUGUCUACGACUUCUGGUUUCAGCCUGCCUUCACCAACACCCCCUGAGGCGACAGAGCACAAAGGCAGGGCUCUCUGCUCUCCACCAGGGAUAGAGGACGGCGGGAUGGGGAGGGGAGAUAAGGGGAAAAGGAAACCUAGCAACAGAAAAUAACAUCUCAAUCCAUUAUCCUGCCGCACUUGUAAUUCUUUAACUCUUGCUCCCAAUUAUAUCUGGAUUUAAGAGUGCAAAACAAAGGCUCAUGCUGUAAUUUUAAUGGACUUGUUUUUAUAGGAAAAAAGUGAGUCUCAGAAUCCUAGAAAUGAUUUCUUCUAAGACUCACAGGAUUUAAUAAGCUCCUAGCUUAAGGAUUAAACAUUUUUUUUUAGCAUCAGCGUAACGUGACUCGCGCUCCCCUUCCAAGUGGAGAAUCCCAUUGUACAAAACAGAAAGGGAGCUGCUUUGGUUGUCAGGUUGGGGCACAGAACUCCUGCUGGAUGGUUUCCUCACUCCAUCCCUGUCGCAGUCCCUGCAGUGGCUCAAGCAGACCGGAAGGCUCAGUGGAGCAUGGGGUGAAGAACCAGCCUCAGCCCACCCUCCACCCCACACUGAAAGCCUCUUCGUGGCUUCCCUUCACCCACCUCUGAUCACUCCCUUCCUGAGAGAAGUCUCACAGGCAGCCGACCCAUCGCCCAGCACCACCCAGGACGGGAAAACACUUCCUAUAUGAUUGACGACCCCAAUGUGAUUCCCCGUCACUCACCCACAAGUCUCAGUUCUGCCUAAGAGACCACAAGGAACAGGUCUACGUCCUCUUUCACAUGAGUUACAGAGCAUAUCUCUCCCUGGAGCGUCUUUUCCAGAUGAAACAGGCACUUAAACCUAUGAUAAGUGGGUAAAUGAAUGAAUAAAUGAAGAAGCAAACAUAGGAAGGAGCAGAUUGGAGGUGGAAAAGGAAGGAAGAGAAAGAACAACUGAAUGAAACACUCUCGUCAUUCUCUUCUGCACACUCUCUAGCUUGAAAAUGGUUCUCUUAAAAAGUGACAUGUGUGAGAAAAUUGUAGCUUUUGGAACUGAACACAAUUCUCCAGAAAGACCUUAACCAAGUGUUUUUCCUACUGUUGGCGGUAACCCAUCAGACAAAGCCUUUUGGGCCAGAACGAAAGUUCAGGUCUAAACAAGGAAUACCCCCCAGAGGGUAACACCUGGACUGUAUCGGCCCACCAGAGCAAAGCCACACCAAGUUCCUGCAAUCAGAUCCUCUUCCAAGGCUACCUCACGUUGAUGUGAGAGGAUCCUGGAGGGGAAAGAGGGAUGGAAUCAGGGCCCCAAAAUAAAUGUAGUUGACUUCUCUUCGUUGCCUCCAGCAAUACCUAAAAUUUUGUAGUGAUGUUAUUUGCUAAAAGUAAUAAUGCUAACCACUACUACUUAUCGAGCACUCGGAAUUCUAAGUUCUGCACAUGUGUUAUUUCACUUAGUUUUUGAAAUAAUACCAGGGGUAAAGCGUUAUUAUCCCACUUUACAUAUGGGGCACCUGAGACUCAGAGACAUUAAAU
Equus caballus (horse) is the source of this 1671-nucleotide long non-coding RNA. Lineage: Eukaryota; Metazoa; Chordata; Mammalia; Perissodactyla; Equidae. The record is from Ensembl.